Long non-coding RNA from Crotalus tigris (Tiger rattlesnake), 2563 nucleotides. RefSeq lists it as uncharacterized. The record is from RefSeq and is a predicted model, not a curated record. The transcript is spliced from 2 exons. Lineage: Eukaryota; Metazoa; Chordata; Lepidosauria; Squamata; Viperidae.
GCCGGAUUCACUUAACAACUGUGUUACUAACUUAACAACUGCAGUGACUCACUUAACAAUGGUUAAAUUUUGGGCUGAAUUGUGGGCAUCAGUCAAGAGCCACCAGGAACAAGGGUGUCGAAUUUCCUCCAUUUGUAUACCAUCUGCUCGACCGUGAACCUGUGGAGUGCAAAGUCUUGAGAAAUAAUUUUGAAAUCCUUUCCAGCCUGUUCAGCAUCAAAGGCUGUUUUUCUGAGGUCUUCAGGAAUCUCCUUUGUUCAGGCUGUGACAUGCUUCCACCUAAUUGUGUUGUGGAGAUCAGACUUCAAAAUAAGGUGGAAACCCCCAUAGUCAACAUCUGAUUAUCAUCCUGUUGAUUAAAACCUGCCGUAAGUCACUUUUUUCAUUGCAGUCUGACUUCAGUUACUAAACAAAUACUCGUAAAUCAAGAACUACCUGUAACCACGGCAUCUCAUAUUUAUAUAUGUAUUGAAUUUCUUUGUUUUAUGAUGUCGAACUUGUAGAAGAUUGGCCUCUGCUCUCUGUUAUUUUAUAUUUAAGAAUGGGGUUUUGGCCUGCUGAAAUACUCAGUUGUUGAGAUACUGCUCAGUUACUACAAGAUCAAUAUCCAGGAAGUGGAACCCAACUUAUUGGAAUUUAUUCAAUUCAAUCUAGGCAUCAUCCAGCUCCAAUUGACGCUGGGCAAAUCGCAGUAUAAUACCGUAAGACAAUACCAGAUGGGAUCCAAUCACCGUAUGCAGUCAAACGGCAGGAUUCAGGUAUUUGCGAUCACAUAAUCCUGAUAAAAGCUUUCCAGAAAAUAUUGGAUCUUCCCCCCCCCCUUUGGACUUAGAUUAUUUGGUGUUAUUUGCCUUGCAUGUAUGCGGUAGUCACAACGAAGCCUAUUGUACAUAAUGUUGAUUUAUUGUGCACCAUAAAAAAAUCACUCUUAACUCAGAGGUCCCCCACCUUUUGGGCACCAGGGACCGGUUCUGUGGAGAGUUUUUUCUGCAGACCGCAGGGUGUGUGCUUUUGUGUACUGCCUGCAUCUCGCGGAUGGGGCUUUGCUUGUUUGUGCGGACCGGUUGCUGGCAUGCGGUGGCCCAGUACUGGUCCACGGACCGGGAUUGGGGACCUCUGCUCUAACUUAUCAGCACGUGACAUAGAAACUUUCGGACUAACGAAAAUCUAAUUGUAACUGAACCAAAGAUUAUAUUCAAUCAGCUGUCUUAGUGUGACCCAUCCUUCCGAGGUCAGGAAAGUGAGGACCCAGAUUGCUGGGGGCAAUAUGCUGACUCUGUAAACCGCUUAGAGGGGACUGUAAAACAAUAUAGCAAUGGCAAUAGCAGACUUAUAUACCGCUAUGAAGCGGUAUAUAAGUCUAAGUGCUAUUGCCAUUGCUAUAUUGUUUCCAGUACGUGUGCUUUAAAAUAAAGGAGAACCUAGAAAUGUGUUUUUCACCCACUUUUAAUUUUCUGUCUUUUUCCAGAUGAGCCGUCCCUGCACCCCAAAGAAUGGUAGUCUGAUGUUGUAAACAUCCCCGACUGGCAGCUGGGAAACAUAGCUUUCAGUCCGAUGUUUGCUACUUCCGGCUACUUAUAAACAACGCUGGAAGGAAAAGAUCCAUUAUAAAGAGGCUUUGUUUCAAAGCUGGCAGGAGACCCUGAGCAUUUCUGCUUCUUAAAGAUUACAGUUUUGGACAACUUGAGAAACACCCACACACUUUCGUACAUUCAUUAAGCUUCUUGGCAUCCCGUUGAGAGCUGAAUGAUUAGGGAAAACAGAGACAGAAUACUUCACUGACAUCUGAAACUUAGGAAUAGCACUAUAUGCUCCUGAACGUUUGGAUGUGUCCUAUCUUUUCCUCUAUUUGUUUAUUGUUGUCACAUGUGCAUGCUGCCAACUCUUUUUACAAGUUGACUUUAGUCCGCUGUGUUAUGGUCACACACAUCUCUCUCAAAUCAGUGCAUCUCUACUCAAUUACCCCAUCAAUUUUUUUUGUGGUGGGGGGGAAAAAUUGAAAAACAGAAGGUGGCAGCUGCUGUUUGCUCCUGAGGAAAAGAAGAUAUUAAAUUGCACAAAGAAACAACUAGCCCUUUGCAUGUUUAAAGACACAAAUGUUCUAGUCACGGGAAGGUGCAGUCGCAUCUGAAAUCCAACUUCCGAAUAAGCUGGUGAUGACUAAUUACAAAGCAGAUUUCAUAUAAAUUCAAAAGGUUAAAUGUAUUUGGGCGCCUCCAUCAUAGCCUUACUUAAAUACGUAAAGCAUUGAAGAAGCCAUUAUCACUAUUUAGUUGGAAGGACAAUGAAAUAUUAAUAUUAUUAAUUAUUAGAGUUUUAUAGCCCACUUUUGGGCCCCUUUGGAGAUCCCUAGUAGCCCAAGGAAAGAUCCGCCAAGUUACUCAUGUCUUGGUUUGUCCUCAUGCUUUUGUUAGCUAUUCUGUAUCUUUGGUUUACAGAAUCCUACAUGUUUUCUUUAAUAGCUGAGCAUAAUUUUUAUUCCUUUGUUCUUGCUGUGAUGUUGUUUUUUAAAUAUGUCCUUCAGCGCUAUUAAAAACUAAUAAAUAUUUAAAGGAAGAAAAAA